RNAcentral lists this ribosomal RNA (253 nucleotides) under uncultured bacterium. Its description in RNAcentral is "partial 16S ribosomal RNA". It matches the Rfam family "Archaeal small subunit ribosomal RNA", at positions 474 to 727 of the family's 1478-position model. The record is from RNAcentral.
UACCAGCACCCCGAGUGGUCGGGACGAUUAUUGGGCCUAAAGCAUCCGUAGCCGGUCAUGCAAGUCCUCCGUUAAAUCCACCUGCUUAACAGAUGGGCUGCGGAGGAUACUACAAGGCUAGGAGGCGGAAGAGGCAAGCGGUACUCAGUGGGUAGGGGUAAAAUCCUCUGAUCCAUUGAAGAACACCAGUGGCGAAGGCGGCUUGCCAAUACGCGCUCGACGGUGAGGGAUGAAAGCUGGGGGAGCAAACCGG